GAAUGCCAAGUUUUGGGCUCCUUACAUUUAUCAGCUGCAUGGUUGUAUACUGAAGACAUCGAGGUAGCAUAACAUCAUCAAUUGUUGUUGUAAGAAAAUGGCCCGAGCUAUGGGGAACCUCGUUAACGCAGAGAUAAAUGACCGCACAAGAGAAGACAGCUUUCGGGUUUGGCAUCACCCAAAUAUUCCAAUAGGACCGCUCGUGACAGGAGGAUUUUCCUGUAUCAAUUCCGUGACUUCAACAGUAGCAUGCACCGCCUGUGGACUGGAGGUAGACGCUUCAAAUCUGAACGGUACAAAUCCUUCUGUCUUUCAUGUCCAACGUUCUCCUGAGUGUUUGUUUUUCUACCCAGAUCACCCUUACAGAAAGCUGUCAGACCGCAUACAGACCUACCUGUAUUGGAGUGGAUACAGUGGGGCCCCGGAUAUUGAUGAUCUCGCUACAUCUGGAUUCUAUGUUACCGAUUUUGGCCAGGAGGAAGUUCGAUGCUUCUGCUGUGAUUUACUUUGUCCAUUGUUACUGGGUCAAAUAGUUGAUAUCAGAAGGGAACACGCUCUUCUUAGCCCGAACUGUGCAUUCAACAAAAA
This is a long non-coding RNA of Mizuhopecten yessoensis (Yesso scallop), 588 nucleotides long. RefSeq lists it as uncharacterized. Lineage: Eukaryota; Metazoa; Mollusca; Bivalvia; Pectinida; Pectinidae. The transcript is spliced from 3 exons. The record is from RefSeq and is a predicted model, not a curated record.